GCAGCCCAGCUCUGACAGCCUGAGAGCGGAGAGAGAGAGAGAGAGAGGAUGAAGAGAAGGGAGGGGGAAGAGAGAGUGAUAGCAUGACAGAAAGCGAGAGAAUCGGAGAGUUAAAGAGAGAGAGAGGGGCAGCCUGCCAGUGAAUGGUAACACAGGAUCAACCCUCAGCCUACGGAUCAUAAUGGAGGAAGAAACCCUGCUGCGAGAGAGACUGCAGGCUAUAACAGACAAAAGAAGACUUCGAGAGGAGAUAGAAAAGAAACGAAGAAACAUUGAAGAAGAGAAAUUAAAGCUACAAUAUCUAAAGAAAAAAACUUUACGAGAACAAUGGCUGAUGGACGGAUUGAGCACCCUGAGCGAAGAGGAGCAGGAAUCUGUGAAGGCCCAGACUGAAGAUAACCAGCAGCAGACCAAACUCCUGCAGAGCAAUGUCGACAGAAUAGAGCAGGAAAUUGCGGUUCUGGAGACACAAGAGCUGGAGCUGUCUGCAAAAGAGGAGAUUCUUCUGAAACAACUUAAGGAGGUGGAGAAAACUCCAGAGGAUAUCAUAAAGGAAGUAAACGCAAAUAUCCGGCCAGGUAAAGACAAUUCCUCUUUUUGCUGUAUUGCCAUUUGUACAGCAUUCUUUCCCAGGAUGCAUUUUUUUGAACAGAUUGUUUCUUACAGAGCCAGUCCAAUACAUUUACACUGCCAUACCUGAUGUCCCAAAGUCCUAUACUCCCAAAGCCAGGAGGAGGAGUGUCGGUCAAGGGGAAAUGUGAAACUGGUGAAGAGCAGGAGAAGACAGCUUCAUACACCAUGAAGAUCAGUGUUGAAAAAGAUCUCCGCACUGGUGAGAGUCACAUCCUUUCCACAGCAACCAUCGCACCUCUGGAUCUCCAACAACAAGGCAUCAAAGUUUACGAUGAUGGCCGUAAAUCUGU
Molecule: RNA transcript, 923 nt
Organism: Puntigrus tetrazona (Sumatra barb)
Lineage: Eukaryota; Metazoa; Chordata; Actinopteri; Cypriniformes; Cyprinidae
Gene name: palmdelphin-like
Exons: 7
Source: RefSeq, a predicted model, not a curated record